Pongo pygmaeus (Bornean orangutan) is the source of this 505-nucleotide long non-coding RNA. RefSeq lists it as uncharacterized. The transcript has 4 exons. Lineage: Eukaryota; Metazoa; Chordata; Mammalia; Primates; Hominidae. The record is from RefSeq and is a predicted model, not a curated record.
AUAGAAUACUCUCUGUGCUGCCCUCUUGAAUAAUGCCCCAAGAAUGCAUGCCUUUCGUGAUCAUUCUGUGAAAUAUUGCUGAGUAUAGGAACGAGUGAAUUGUAGAUGGAUAAAUAUCUAAACAAACUUCGGUCAUGCUGCAAGCCUAGUGGAAUGCCUGAUUCUUCUGGGUAUAGCUCAAGGAACACUCACCGUAGAAUGGAAGUCAUUUAGCAGGAAAGCAGUGGUCUGCUCUUCUCUGAGCACCAUUGACCACUUAUUGGAUUGUGGAAGAGACCUAACUCAAAUUUGGACCAAGAAGUGACUUGAAAUCAAGAUCUCUCCCCAGAAGAGAACAAUGAAUAGAUCUGUGGUUGGCUGAAUGCACCAAUGUGGAACCUGUGGAUACAAAGAACCAACUGUGUAAGAUCCCCAAGAUAUUAUAAUCCUUUUGAAGAAGUGUCAACUGUGAGCAUCACAAUAGCCUUCACUGGAGCAAAGGAUAAAUUUUUUUCUCUGUGCUUGC